This is a long non-coding RNA of Arabidopsis lyrata subsp. lyrata, 585 nucleotides long. RefSeq lists it as uncharacterized. NCBI's taxonomy places the organism in Eukaryota, Viridiplantae, Streptophyta, Magnoliopsida, Brassicales, Brassicaceae. The transcript is spliced from 2 exons. The record is from RefSeq and is a predicted model, not a curated record.
UAUGGAAAUCAUUUAGUCUUUGUCGAAGAAAUAUCUCAUAUUGCUGUCUUCAAAGGAGACUUAUUAAGACAAAUGUAAUUAAGAGUCAGUCCAAGGAUCUAGAGUCAGGUAUUCACUUUUCUGUGGAAGCAAUUAGUCUUCACACGAGACUUUUUAAGUCCAGCUUUAAUGUGUUUCCACAAAUAUUAUAAAGGACACCCUAAUGAUCAAUUCGUUUCACAGAAAAUAAAAAAACAAUCAAAGAAAAAAAAUAUGAAGCAAUCUUGUAGUGAGAGAAGAAUGAUAAUAACCAGAGGGAUGCUCUUUGGGAGUUCAAGGGCGAGUUCGAUUCUGAAGGGAAGACAGAGAAGUGGAAGAACAACACUGAUUGCUGUUCUUGGGAUGGUGUCUCUUGUGAUCCUAAGACAGGAAAGGUCGUUGAGUUAGACCUGGAGGACAGUAGUCUCAAUGGCCCUUUGAGAUCUAAUAGCAGCCUGUUUAGACUACAACAUCUUCAAACCCUGAAUCUUGUCAACAAUAAUAUUUCCGGUAUCCUACCAGAUUCCAUCGGCAACCUCAAAUAUUUGAGGUCUUUGAGUUUUCGUC